Non-coding RNA from Myodes glareolus (Bank vole), 2421 nucleotides. The record is from RefSeq and is a predicted model, not a curated record. NCBI's taxonomy places the organism in Eukaryota, Metazoa, Chordata, Mammalia, Rodentia, Cricetidae.
UAUCUCCAUCCAUCGCCAGAUGAAGGUUCCCUCCGAUGGCUGUCUGCUAGAAGUCAGUGCCCCUUGCUGGUCAGGAAUGUCGCUGAGCUGACACAGCUUCUUUCACUUUCUUCACUGGCAUUCUGACCACGGGUAAGACCCCUGAGAUCUACAGCAAGGCAUUGGCUCUUGGCGGUGACUGUAGACAAAUCCUUGAGGCAGAGAGGAAGCAGGUUUAGAGGGCUGGGUUGAGCUGACGUUGGGGAACAAGAAUACUGAAGUUUUGAGGCUCAGAAGAGGCUAGGCCCAAACGGAGGCUGAUAGUUGAGGAGGCCUAACUCAAAGGCAGUGUUUGACAGCAAAACCCCCCAUUUCUGUGCUACCCAAGAAGGAAGCUGGGGAUGUGAGUCUGCAGUUUAACGGGGUUUGUAGGGUGGGCACCACCAGUCAUGGCAGUUUGACCACCUAGAUCUGUGUUUCCCUGUUUGUUUUUUCUCCUAACGGGAUCGCACCUGUCAGCGUCUCAGUAUCCCUGAGCUCCCCUGGUUAGCAAUGAGGAAACUCCAGCACUCUUCCCUAUCUUCGCCCUCCCUCUUUCCUUUACAGGGGAGUUUGUCAAAAUUCUGUAUCCACUCGCUCCGUUUCCUCACACUCCACUAGCUCCCUUAGAGACCCAUUUUCAUUUUGACCUUUGCUCCUUCUCUCUAACAAUACAGCUCUUGUUGAAUCACCUGUGACCACCGUGCUUCUAAAUCCAGCAGACAAUUUCCAGGUCUUGUCUCAGUUGACAGACAGGGCAUUAACACCCCCCCCCUCCCAAGGCUGUUUGACCAUUGAUCAUCUUUUCUCUCUUAAAGUUUUCUCUUGGCCUCCUUAUCUCCUCACUCUCCGUUCUUUGGUUUUUAUCUGUCUUUCCAGCUGUUCUCAUUCAUUCUCUUUGCCAUCAGAAUUUGUUUAUUUAAGGUAAUGUAGGAGCCCUCUUUCCCACCUUUCUCUUGUGCAGGGCAUCUCAAUGGGAGGGCUGCCAUCUGGAUUUGCCUCUGCUCUCCUCACUGCUCAGAAUGUAAGGGUACAGAUUUACAGGUUGCUUUCUUGUUUCUGUUUAGCCCCAGCAGAUCCUUGCAGACCAGCAUGCCCUGGCGGUUGGUACUUGGAAGAACUAAAAUGGCAACUAAAAUGCCUGCUGGCCUGAGGGAACUUCCAAGGAGGCCGGCAUGUCUCCCAUCUACCCUGGUGUUGGGGCUUGAACUCUGGACCCUGCCCUGGACUGAACAGUAUUCUUCCACUAAGCAAUACUAAACAUAUACAAACAGGUCUAAACAUACAUGUCAUAAUAAUACUCUUGCUAUUUUUCUUUAUUUCUUUUAAAACUUAAGUUUUUAAAUCAAACUUAAAAAAAUGUAAAAUCCCCCAUAUUUAGCAUUCUAUUGCAAAUUAACCAAAAUUUAAACUAUCUUAUUCUUAGUAACUAGGAUUUUUCAAAAAGGAGUUGUGUAGAAGUAUGAGACAAUUCUCCAUUUUAAAGUAACAUUUGCAAUAAACAUUACUAUUAUUGGUUUUCCUUGGCCUGCAGUUUCAAAUAACCCUGAACAGAAACAGGUAAAGCAAAACCCUUGACCCCUGGACCUCUUGAUACCAGGCAAGUUGAAAUAAUAAGCCCUGGCCAACAAAAGGCUUGAAGCAGGCAAGGAGAAGGAGUUAAUGAAAUCCUGCAAUCGGAUCCUAGGACCUCAGCAGACAGGGACAGCUGUUCUCUAGCCCUAAUGAACCCUGCGAGAUCACCUCCUGGCAAAAUCCAACCCUGGAAGCAAGGAUGAUUGGCUGGUAUAUUGAAUAAUUCUCCCCUAAUCAUUUAUCGUUUGUGGAGGAAGACAAGCAUGGUCUCUGCCUUUGGGAAAACUACACAGGCUGCCUCAACAUUUGCAAAGGCAGCAUACAGCCAGAGCCUUCUUCAGCAUCCUGAUGUGCUUCCCUGUGGAGAGAGUUCACAUGUGCAAAGGCGGACUCACCUUUCCAACUCUACUAUUUGGUAAUAAAGUGAGACUAGAAACAGUAUUCAUGACUAUAUAAUCUGUACCGAGGAAGUGUGGAUCAAUACCACACAUCCAUGCUGUGUUUUUAAAUCUGGAGACGUAGAAGUUAGACUCCCUGAAGAUGCAAACAUUGAUGAGAGAAUCUCACUCCCUUGCGUACAGUGGUCUCACGUACAAUGCCAGGUUUCAGCUGUUCUGCUUCCAACAGUCUCAAAGUGUGGAUUUUCCUACAGCCUGAGCUCACCAGGAAAGAUCAUCGUCGUGAAACACCCAGUGGUGUUCCCAGCUUAACUGACUGCUUCAACACUAAUGUGCCCAUCUAUGAUUAAUGCUGACAAAUACCCUAUGGUCCAGAUUCUGCUAUGCACACCCUCCAAUCAAAUUAUUAUGGCCCUUAACCAGCAUAUAA